This 496-nucleotide ribosomal RNA is filed under the name uncultured bacterium. Its description in RNAcentral is "partial 16S ribosomal RNA". It matches the Rfam family "Bacterial small subunit ribosomal RNA", at positions 28 to 506 of the family's 1533-position model. The record is from RNAcentral.
GAUGAACGCUGGCGGCGUGCCUAAUACAUGCAAGUCGAGCGAACGGACGAGAAGCUUGCUUCUCUGAUGUUAGCGGCGGACGGGUGAGUAACACGUGGAUAACCUACCUAUAAGACUGGGAUAACUUCGGGAAACCGGAGCUAAUACCGGAUAAUAUUUUGAACCGCAUGGUUCAAAAGUGAAAGACGGUCUUGCUGUCACUUAUAGAUGGAUCCGCGCUGCAUUAGCUAGUUGGUAAGGUAACGGCUUACCAAGGCAACGAUGCAUAGCCGACCUGAGAGGGUGAUCGGCCACACUGGAACUGAGACACGGUCCAGACUCCGACGGGAGGCAGCAGUAGGGAAUCUUCCGCAAUGGGCGAAAGCCUGACGGAGCAACGCCGCGUGAGUGAUGAAGGUCUUCGGAUCGUAAAACGCUGUUAUUAGGGAAGAACAUAUGUGUAAGUAACUGUGCACAUCUUGACGGUACCUAAUCAGAAAGCCACGGCUAACUACGU